Molecule: ribosomal RNA, 253 nt
Filed under: uncultured bacterium
Lineage: Bacteria
Description: partial 16S ribosomal RNA
Rfam family: Bacterial small subunit ribosomal RNA
Source: RNAcentral
UACAGAGGGUGCGAGCGUUAAUCGGAAUUACUGGGCGUAAAGGGCGCGUAGGCGGGUUAGUAAGUUAGUUGUGAAAUCCCUGGGCUUAACCUAGGAACUGCAACUAAUACUGUUAAUCUAGAGUGCGGUAGAGGGUAGUGGAAUUUCCGGUGUAGCGGUGAAAUGCGUAGAUAUCGGAAGGAACACCAGUGGCGAAGGCGGCUACCUGGACUGACACUGACGCUGAGGCGCGAAAGCGUGGGGAGCAAACAGG